AAAUAAUACGACUAAAGUUUUUAGUAAAAAGUUGAAGUCUGCCUCAAUAAAUGAAGUCAGUGAUAAGACUUGAUCUGAAAAGUUUCGUGCGGAUUAAAAACCAGCUAGUUCGACUGGGAUCGCAUAUGGCACACUACGCGAUUCAUUCGUGAUUUGGCCGCGUUCGUUUUUGUUGACGGCGCGAUUGAUCGUUCAAUAUUAGGGAUGGAUAGUUGGUGAGUGUGUUGAUUCAAAGAGUUAACUCUAUUAGGUAAACUCAACGAAUUGUAUCAGUGUGUUAUAUAGUUCAGCAAUUCGACGACUCAGUGUUAGUGUCAGUACUCCCCCGUCCACGAAAACUCCGUUUCAAAACUCAGUUGCCAGUGUGCUUUAUCGUAGUUCAUGGUUGCCACCACGGCGGUGUAAAAAGAACCGCACUACCUAUCGAUAAUCUCGUUAGUUAGAAAGAGAAGUCACUCCGUCGGCAACCAUGUGUUCCGUUUUUGUGCAAGAGAUUUGGUCGUUUUGGUUUUAUACUAUAAAAUUGUAUUUAAUAAUUGCGAAUUAACGGUUUCCGAGAAUAUAGUUACACCAAUCCCCCGGGAAAAGCGUCCCGCGGUAAUCGAAUCUAAUGAGGGGGGGGAGGGGUCCAACUGUCUGAGGUGGGAUUACUCCGUCAGUGAUUCGCAAUGUCGCAUAUUAUUAAACCUUUGCAUUCGCACGACCCUUCACACAGUUUAUGU
Molecule: non-coding RNA, 722 nt
Organism: Cinara cedri
Lineage: Eukaryota; Metazoa; Arthropoda; Insecta; Hemiptera; Aphididae
Source: the annotation of a GenBank genome assembly